This 220-nucleotide unclassified non-coding RNA is filed under the name uncultured Actinomycetes bacterium. RNAcentral describes it as "uncultured actinobacterium contains 16S-23S intergenic spacer region". It matches the Rfam family "Bacterial small subunit ribosomal RNA", at positions 976 to 1197 of the family's 1533-position model. Lineage: Bacteria; Bacillati; Actinomycetota; Actinomycetes. The record is from RNAcentral.
UGGGUUUGACAUGCGCCAGACGCGUCCAGAGAUGGGCGUUCCCUUGUGGUUGGUGUGCAGGUGGUGCAUGGCUGUCGUCAGCUCGUGUCGUGAGAUGUUGGGUUAAGUCCCGCAACGAGCGCAACCCUCGUUCCAUGUUGCCAGCGGGUUAUGCCGGGGACUCAUGGGAGACUGCCGGGGUCAACUCGGAGGAAGGUGGGGAUGACGUGUCCUUGAUAGG